Molecule: transfer RNA, 94 nt
Filed under: Lactobacillus gasseri 202-4
Lineage: Bacteria; Bacillati; Bacillota; Bacilli; Lactobacillales; Lactobacillaceae
Description: tRNA-Ser
Rfam family: tRNA
About the family: Transfer RNA (tRNA) molecules are approximately 80 nucleotides in length. Their secondary structure includes four short double-helical elements and three loops (D, anti-codon, and T loops).
Source: RNAcentral
GGAGGAUUACCCAAGUCCGGCUGAAGGGAACGGUCUUGAAAACCGUCAGGCGGGUUCUGCCCGCGCGUGGGUCCGAAUCCCACAUCCUCCUUAA